RNAcentral lists this small RNA (22 nucleotides) under Mus musculus (house mouse). Its description in RNAcentral is "oocyte_piRNA2076". Lineage: Eukaryota; Metazoa; Chordata; Mammalia; Rodentia; Muridae. The record is from RNAcentral.
UACCAGCCUAGAGAUGUCACCA